GGCUCCAUGGUGUACUUGUUAGCAUUUUGAACUCUGAAUUCAGGAAUCUGAGUUUGAAUCUCGGUGGGACCU
RNAcentral lists this transfer RNA (72 nucleotides) under Ornithorhynchus anatinus (platypus). It matches the Rfam family "tRNA". From Rfam's summary of the family: Transfer RNA (tRNA) molecules are approximately 80 nucleotides in length. The record is from Rfam by way of RNAcentral. Lineage: Eukaryota; Metazoa; Chordata; Mammalia; Monotremata; Ornithorhynchidae.